This 735-nucleotide ribosomal RNA is filed under the name uncultured archaeon. RNAcentral's name for it is "bacterial SSU rRNA". It matches the Rfam family "Archaeal small subunit ribosomal RNA", at positions 54 to 798 of the family's 1478-position model. The record is from RNAcentral.
CGAGUCACGUAGCAAUACGUGGCGCACGGCUCAGUAACACGUAGUCAACAUGCCCAAAGGACGUGGAUAACCUCGGGAAACUGAGUCUAAACCGCGAUGAGUCAAGAUUCCUGGAAUGGUUCCUGACUGAAAUCUAUAUGGCCUUUGGAUUGGACUGCGGCCGAUCAGGCUGUUGGUGAGGUAAUGGCCCACCAAACCUGUAACCGGUACGGGCUCUGAGAGGAGGAGCCCGGAGAUGGGCACUGAGACAAGGGCCCAGGCCCUAUGGGGCGCAGCAGGCGCGAAACCUCUGCAAUAGGCGAAUGCCUGACAGGGUUACUCUGAGUGAUUUUCGUUAAGAAAGUCUUUUGGCACCUCUAAAAAUGGUGCAGAAUAAGGGGUGGGCAAGUCUGGUGUCAGCCGCCGCGGUAAUACCAGCACCCCGAGUGGUCGGGACGAUUAUUGGGCCUAAAGCAUCCGUAGCCGGUUCUGCAAGUCUCCCGUUAAAUCCAACUGCUCAACAGGUGGGCUGCGGAGGAUACUACAGAGCUAGGAGGCAGGAGAGGCAAGCGGUACUCAGUGGGUAGGGGUAAAAUCCGUUGAUCCAUUGAAGACCACCAGUGGCGAAGGCGGCUUGCCAGAAUGCGCUCGACGGUGAGGGAUGAAAGCUGGGGGAGCAAACCGGAUUAGAUACCCGGGUAGUCCCAGCCGUAAACGAUGCAGACUCGGUGAUGGGUUGGCUUCGCGCUAACCCAG